UGGGGAAUUUUGGACUAUGGGCGCAAGCCUGAUCCAGCCAUGCCGCGUGUCUGAAGAAGGCCUUCGGGUUGUAAAGGACUUUUGUCAGGGAAGAAAAGGAUAGGGUUAAUACCCCUGUCUGAUGACGGUACCUGAAGAAUAAGCACCGGCUAACUACGUGCCAGCAGCCGCGGUAAUACGUAGGGUGCGAGCGUUAAUCGGAAUUACUGGGCGUAAAGCGGGCGCAGACGGUUACUUAAGCAGGAUGUGAAAUCCCCGGGCUCAACCUGGGAACUGCGUUCUGAACUGGGUGACUAGAGUGUGUCAGAGGGAGGUAGAAUUCCACGUGUAGCAGUGAAAUGCGUAGAGAUGUGGAGGAAUACCGAUGGCGAAGGCAGCCUCCUGGGAUAACACUGACGUUCAUGCCCGAAAGCGUGGGUAGCAAACAGGAUUAGAUACCCUGGUAGUCCACGCCCUAAACGAUGUCGAUUAGCUGUUGGGCAGCUUGACUGCUUAAUAGCGAAGCUAACGCGUGAAAUCGACCGCCUGGGGAGUACGGUUCGCAAGAUUAAA
This 552-nucleotide ribosomal RNA is filed under the name uncultured bacterium. RNAcentral's name for it is "bacterial SSU rRNA". It matches the Rfam family "Bacterial small subunit ribosomal RNA", at positions 355 to 898 of the family's 1533-position model. The record is from RNAcentral.